AAUCUGCCGAGAAGUGGGGGAUAGCUCGCCGAAAGGCGAAUUAAUACCGCAUGUGGUCAACGAGGACAUCCUCGCGAAACCAAAGCCGGGGCAACCUGGCGCUUCUUGAUGAUCCCGCGGCCUAUCAGCUAGUUGGCGGGGUAAAAGCCCACCAAGGCUAUGACGGGUAGCUGGUCUGAGAGGACGACCAGCCACACUGGAACUGAGACACGGUCCAGACACCUACGGGUGGCAGCAGUCGAGAAUUUUUCUCAAUGGGGGAAACCCUGAAGGAGCGACGCCGCGUGAAG
This 290-nucleotide ribosomal RNA is filed under the name uncultured bacterium. RNAcentral's name for it is "partial 16S ribosomal RNA". It matches the Rfam family "Bacterial small subunit ribosomal RNA", at positions 123 to 406 of the family's 1533-position model. The record is from RNAcentral.